UCAGUCGACUCCUACGGGGAGGCAGCAGUGAGGAAUAUUGGUCAAUGGAGGCAACUCUGAACCAGCCAUGCCGCGUGCAGGAUGACUGCCCUAUGGGGUUGUAAACUACUUUUAUACAGGAAGAAACGUACCCUCGUGAGGGUGCCUGACGGUACUGUAGGAAUAAGCACCGGCUAACUCCGUGCCAGCAGCCGCGGUAAUACGGAGGGUGCGAGCGUUAUCCGGAUUUAUUGGGUUUAAAGGGUCCGUAGGCGGAUUAAUAAGUCAGUGGUGAAAUCCCAUCGCUUAACGAUGGAACUGCCAUUGAUACUGUUAGUCUUGAAUGAGGGUGCAGUGGUUGGAAUGUGUAGUGUAGCGGUGAAAUGCAUAGAUAUUACACAGAACACCGAUUGCGAAGGCAGAUCACUAACCCUAAAUUGACGCUGAGGGACGAAAGCGUGGGGAGCGAACAGGAUUAGAUACCCUGGUAG
This 470-nucleotide ribosomal RNA is filed under the name uncultured bacterium. Its description in RNAcentral is "bacterial SSU rRNA". It matches the Rfam family "Bacterial small subunit ribosomal RNA", at positions 328 to 793 of the family's 1533-position model. The record is from RNAcentral.